Long non-coding RNA from Beta vulgaris subsp. vulgaris (sugar beet), 1123 nucleotides. RefSeq lists it as uncharacterized. The record is from RefSeq and is a predicted model, not a curated record. NCBI's taxonomy places the organism in Eukaryota, Viridiplantae, Streptophyta, Magnoliopsida, Caryophyllales, Amaranthaceae. The transcript has 2 exons.
AGGUUGUCGUGUGAUAUAAUUAUCUCAAAGGCUCAUUUGUUAAGUUGUUAGGAGUCCUAGCUUAGAUAAGACUAUUCAUGCUUAUCUUUGUUUCGGCGUGGCUUUGCUUGUUUAGCAUAGCUACGAGUCUUUGUCAUUAUGAGCUAUUUUCAUGAACAAUAGUAUGAGUUUGGUCAUUUGAGUAAUACUUUAAAUUUCGGGACGAAACUUAUUUUAAGGGGGAUUGAUUGUAACAACCCGUAUUUUUAUACAUGUUAAGUAAUGAGUUAUAUUAUUUGAGUUUAUAAUAAAAAUAUUUUAAAAUGUUCUUUUAUCAAAUAUAUUUUAUUUUCACUUAUUAACCUUACCUUAGAAGGUUCAAACGCUAAUCCCUAAAUUUCCUAGGGUAACAACCCAUUUACACAUUAUGUCACUAUUAUAAAGAAAGGAGGAAGAGAAAAAAAAAAAAAACAAAAGAAAAGAAAAAGAGGAAAAAGGGUCGGAUUUCCCGUAGCCCCUCCCUUUCAUUCAUUCUUUCUUCCAUUUUAUUUCCUUCCUUCUUCUAUUGUAUUCUUUUUCUUCAACAGACCAUUAUAUCUUCUUCUCUAUUCACCUUUUCUUAUUUUUUUGAUUCAACACCCUAAAUUGAUAAACUUUGUUCAACUUUUAUCAGACUUAAACCUUCCUUCAUCUAUCUUUCAUGAUAUUUUAUAUUGUGGGUGUUUCAAAGGUUGAAAAUUUUGGGUUUUAUAUUGCACGUUUUGGGGGCGGAAUUCGGAUAGAAAGGCGAUUUUUUGGGUCUUUCUCUUGGGUAAUUUCAUCUCUUUAUUCAAUAUUAAAUCUUGCUCAGCCUUUGGCUGAUAUUACAGUGUUUAAUGUGCAAGGACUUGAAGAUAGUAAACUCCUGUUGCGUUAAUAGAGUGCGUUGGAUCUCCUUCAAUUUAUUAGGACUUUAAAAAUACUUCCGUUGUUAUUUAUUUGACUAUAAGAUUUAUAUUCAGGUUUGUAAUAAUUAAUUUACAUUCUAUUUAGUUGGUAUGUAAUAAUUAUUUAAAACUUAUUGUUCUGUUUUAACUAGAACUAUUAGCCUAGCGGUUAUUAUUACUAAUUAUCGCGGCGUAGCACCUUUGAAUUUUCGAGUUUA